UGGUAAAUCAUAAUAAUAGCGAGACAAUAACAUUGAAGUGUUGACGUGUGGAUUGAUGAAGAAAGGUUUCAAGCAUGGUGUCUAAAGCUCACAAUGCAUCACCCAUACUGGAAAUGGACCUUGAACAAUUAUCACCUCGGAAACAGUGUUCCACCUCAUCAGACUGAAUGUGGCAACAGGCUCAGGGGCGAUCAAGACUGAAAUAUCACCAUAACGAAAGUGUACAUUGGGCAAAUAUCAUCUCGAGAAAUUGUUUUUCAACUCCAUCGUACUGAAAGGGACAAGCCCGGAAUGAAAGAAGUUGGGGGUCGCUUUUUGGAGAACUACUUCCUUCAGCGGACAGCCGAGGACAGAGAUGGGAGCCGGAUUUUCUCCAACCUUGCCGAUUCACACGCACCUGAUAAAUUCACAGUUUCGAGUGUCGGACGGAGGCAGUGAAGUGCAGGGAAGGAACGCGCCAAAGAUCAUGAGAGUUCGGUAACGCACACCUGUGAAGACAAAAUCCCCUCUUCCUGGAAACUAUUCACAGUGGCAUCAUGUGAACUCCCAAGUUACAAACUUCGUUGGGGUCCGUUACGAGUUCA
This is a long non-coding RNA of Daphnia pulicaria, 584 nucleotides long. RefSeq lists it as uncharacterized. NCBI's taxonomy places the organism in Eukaryota, Metazoa, Arthropoda, Branchiopoda, Diplostraca, Daphniidae. The record is from RefSeq and is a predicted model, not a curated record. The transcript has 5 exons.